This is a non-coding RNA of Pelobates cultripes (western spadefoot toad), 314 nucleotides long. NCBI's taxonomy places the organism in Eukaryota, Metazoa, Chordata, Amphibia, Anura, Pelobatidae. The record is from the annotation of a GenBank genome assembly.
CUGCAUUCGAUGUUAGUAACAUAGCAAAUCAUAUUUUUUUCUUUUUCAUUCUUCAUUUUUAAAACUCUCACAGACGUUACAGACCAAACCACCACCAAAAUACAUAACUAUCACUUUAUCAUUAGCCUAGCCUCCUGGGCAGAUGAUGUCAAUUGUAUUUUCAUUAACGUGUACUAAAACAUGUUCAAUUAUUUUGAACUAAGAAAGGAUGUGAAUAGUACCGGCUGGUACAUGUAAAUAUUAAAAAUAUAGCAUUUUAACAUUUUGUCUCCUAAGUUCCUCUUCUUUAGAUUUGCCAAGAACUACAAUCUUAC